ACUCAAACCAGCUGUAUUAAGGAAGGUGCAAGCUUUUGGGAUUUCUGUUUGGAUUUAGUUUAGGUUCAAAAGAGCACGCACAGAUCCUGAGUGUUGUCAAGCACCCGUGACUGGGAAACGGAGGCGUCCGAUCCGUAUUGGAGUCAAUUCGCCACUUAAUUGAAAAACCCUUUGAAAAGAUUCAGCACGUUGCCAUGGAGAACAUCCCACUGAAGGAAUGUAUAGAAGUAGCAGGUAAAGAAUCCUGGAAUAAGAGAAAUAUUUGAAAAAGCUUGUGGAGCCCUGUUAGUCCCAAGAAGAUGAAACGUUUUCAAGGAGGGAGCUCACAAAGACACUUGCAUCACAUUAUCUCUCCUCAGGGUUAACUGAGUGCCUUCCAUCUUCCCUCCAAGGGAUCUGCAAUGAGAUGGGAGAAGGCAACAGGCUGUGUGGGAACCACUGAAGCUGGGAUGGCAGGGAAAGAACAUCUUAGGCUAACUCUUCAAGCCUUGCUGUCACAUUUGCUUUUGAGUCUAUGGUGUCAGCUGCCUACCAGUUGCUUUCAUCUCUAGAAAUCUGUGACUUGCAGUAUGACAAGAACAAAAGGUGACAAUACAAAGGACAAAGGGCAAGGAAUACAGACGGAGAAGCCGCUUAGAGUCUAGGAUGGCAGAGGUUCUCUUGAUCAUUUCAUUUUUGAGCGCUUGUAGAGCUUUGGUGUACCAGAGGUGCUUGAACAGCUUACCACACCACAGAUGAAUGGCCUUUGGAUUUCUCCUAAGAAAAUGUGGCUACCUGAAAUUCAACUCCAUUUUCUGGUCUUCAAUAUUUCUUUUGUGUUCAGUUUGCCAGCUGAGGAGAAGUGGCUAAGCAUAGCCUGUUACUGAUGCUAAAGCCCAAGUUCUGAACCUAACAACUCCAGCAACAUGAUCCUGUUUCAAGAGACAAAAAAGUGACUAAUGAAAGAAAACAAUUGAUGUGCUAUGUAGAGUUUAAAAGAAGGUAAAGAGAAUAAAUUAAAAGCAACAACU
Molecule: long non-coding RNA, 1010 nt
Filed under: Mus musculus (house mouse)
Lineage: Eukaryota; Metazoa; Chordata; Mammalia; Rodentia; Muridae
Description: predicted gene 14461
Source: RNAcentral